This 171-nucleotide ribosomal RNA is filed under the name Littorina sp. RNAcentral describes it as "partial 28S ribosomal RNA". It matches the Rfam family "Eukaryotic large subunit ribosomal RNA", at positions 1326 to 1473 of the family's 3401-position model. Lineage: Eukaryota; Metazoa; Mollusca; Gastropoda; Littorinimorpha; Littorinidae. The record is from RNAcentral.
CGCUGGAGCGUCAGACCCAUACCGGGCCGCUUCGGCAAUUAUUGUGCUGUAAAGUACUUUGGCCAAGCUGAAGCGAGUAGGAGGGCCGCUGCGGUGAGCGUCGAAGCUUGGGACGUGAGUCUAAGUGGAGCCGCCGCAGGUGCAGAUCUUGGUGGUAGUAGCAAAUAUUCA